Neoarius graeffei (lesser salmon catfish) is the source of this 3689-nucleotide long non-coding RNA. RefSeq lists it as uncharacterized. The transcript has 2 exons. The record is from RefSeq and is a predicted model, not a curated record. Lineage: Eukaryota; Metazoa; Chordata; Actinopteri; Siluriformes; Ariidae.
AAGGCUUGUAAACUAUUAUUUUUAUGUUGUAUUUUUAUGUUGUGUAUUAUGGCCAAAUGUUGUUUAUUUUAUUUCAUUUGGUUUCAAUAGGAAUGUGAAGUUGUGCAAUGAAAAGAAUAAUUUUGAAUAUUAAUUAUUUUUGGUUCCGGGGGGAGUAUUUCCCCUCCGGCGGGAUUUUGAGGGGAGUCGAGGCAGGGGGAAAAAAAAGAAAAAGAACAGGAAAUGUGUCCACGCUGAAAGUUGUCUCGCUGGUUCUUCAAUAAAGAAGUUUAUUUGUCAACUGUAACCUGUCUAUCCUUUACACCCACGUCACCGACUGGAAGGAGUUUGACAAGCUAACAGGAGUGUCAGGUUACAGACUGGUGGCAGCGGUGUUUUUUUUUCCUUUCUUCUCACAGUGAUCUAUCCAUUGGCAACUUCUACAACCAAGACAACGGACAACAGCUACUGCUGUAUUUCGUGGACUCUCCUGAAACUAGCUUGGUAGCUCGAGUGGUGAGUGGACAGUGUGUUUUCUCGACUUCUUCAGACCUGAUUGUGCUGCAUGAUUCUCCCUACUCAUUUUUUAAAUGUCGGAUGAGGAAAUCAAUGGAGCACAGGGCACCAAUGACCCUGCAGUUAACAUCAGCAGAAUUGUUCACCACAAGGUCGAGCUGCCACCGUGUUUUCACAGGGAUGGCAAAGACAAGGACAGUUUUUCGCUUUGGAAAGCUUGCCUCAAACUCGCCGUGAAAGCAUGUACUGAUAAUAAUCAACAUGAUCUCGCAACCAUUCUACCCACGCGUUUGAGUGGGGAUGCCUUGGCAUAUUGGCUUUCCUUGACGGAGGACGUGAAGAAGAAUUAUGACCAAUCUGUUGCCAAGUUGAAUGAUGUUUUUGGGAGGAAGCAAUUUUUGUUGCAUUUUCAAACUUUUGUUAAUGCCAGACAACGGUUGGUUAAAGAACCCCUGGAAGUUUAUGCAGCUGAAAUUACCAGACUAGUGCUGGAAGCUUUUCCAAAUUAUGGUGCACCGGCCAUUGAAAUGGAGCGGUUCAGGAGGUUUGUGGCUGGCCUGGACCCCAUACUUUAAGCUAAAUGUCAUGAACAUGGAGCAACUACGCUGGAGGAGGCAUUAGCCAUUGCUUGUAAGUGGGAGAGGGCCCAGGAGGCUUUGAAGCUGUCCGCCCCAGUGAGCCCUCAGUCACUGACUCCCCUGGUGGUUACCACAUCGACAGAGACAGUUUCAGCCAUGGUGUCAGCUAAGCAUGGUUCAUCUCAGCCCAGUGCAUCACCUGAACUCACAAGGGCCAUGCGGGAGCUGUCGGCUGAUGUGCGAUCGCUUAGGCUGGAGGUGGAUCGUCUGCAGCGAAGACAUGAUCCAGACCACAGUGCGCAUGGAGAGUGGUGGAGGCCUCCCAGACAGAGAGAGACAUAUUGGCAUUCACCGUCAUCAUCGCCAGAGCGUCACUCUACAUACAGGCCUCGGUCUCAUCCUUCAUACCAGGGAGGUGAUUAUUAUGGCCAAUACAGAUCUUCACCAGGCCGUCGGGACCGUGGCUAUUCACCUGCUUCACCAUCACCUCCAUGGCGUGCCCCUAGAUCAUCAAGCAGCAAGGACCAGUACCGUCAUCCCAGUCCUGGCUACCGGCGUAGUCCCAGCCCAUCGCCCAUUUAUCCUGGCCGGUGGGAGCACCGUCCUCCACAUACAUCAUCCACUGGGGGGAGAGAUGAGCGUUGAUCGCCUGGCCAGUCCUCCUAUGGCCCAUCAUCCAGAGAGAGACAACAUGUGAGCUUCAACGGCAGCGACACCAUUCAUCAGGGAAACACCCGCUAGCAGGGAAGCUGCCCAGAGGUCUGCUGCGGCUAAACUCCACCAGAAGCUGCAGUAUGAUAAACAUGUGGUGUUUCACCCUCAUGAGAUGGGAGACUAUGUGUUAUUAGAUGACCCGGCACAGCGAAUGAAUAAGUUGGCAGCUAGAUGGAAGGAGCCAUUUGUCAUAUUGAAAUGAUUCAAUAAGGGGGAUAGUGUUGGUGUAACAUAUGAAAUCACUGAUCCAAAGAAACCUGAAUCGAGGAAAUGGGUGGUGCACCACAACAGGCUAAAGGUAUAUAAGGGAAAGUUGACAGAUGAGUCACCUCACAACACAGAACCCUCGGAGGCAGAUGGGUUGAGGCCAGCACCUAUGCCUACUCAGUCCACUCUUACAGCAUUAUCUGGGGCUCUUCCCUAUCUGCCCACAGCUUCUUUAGACAUAGCAGCCCAGUCUCAGAGGCCAGUGCCUAUUACAGAUACAGAAGGUAGUUCUCAGGUUCAUGUUAGUUCUGACCCUUUACCUGCAUCAGUAGCACCUCCUUGUCUUCUUGAAAUGCACUGCAGUGAUGUUGAGUCCAGCCAUGUGGGUGACAUUAAUUCAUCUGUCUCACCUAGUCAGUUGCCUCUUCUAAUAACUACCCAUAGUGGCUGUCAAGUACAACCACCAGUUAAAUUCGGGUAUGAUGUUUAAUGUACCGUAUACUUACCCUUUUGUUUUGUCUGUUCGGUUUGGCAACUGAUUUUUCUCUUUCCUGAAACUGUUUUGGAUAUAUGUCAUGUAAAGUUACCCUUCUUUCUUACUCACUGUGCUUGAUCAGUGGUAUUGGUGACAUGUAUGUUAACAAAUGAUUUUGUGGACCAUAGCUCGUUAUUAGUGCCAUGUCACGAAAUGUGGACAUUUCUAUUUUUGGCAGGGGACGACUGUAAACUAUUAUUUUUAUGUUGUAUUUUUAUGUUGUGUAUUAUGGCCAAAAGUUGUUUAUUUUAUUUCAUUUGGUUUAAAUAGGAAUGUGAAGUUGUGCAAUGAAAAGAAUAAUUUUGAAUAUUAAUUAUUUUUGGUUCCGGGGGGAGUUUCCCCUCCGGCAGGAUUUUGAGGGGAGUCGAGGCAGGGGAAAAAAAAAAGAAAAUGUCAUGGUCCUACCUGUGGGCUUCUCUCUUCAGGUAACAUCUCCACUCAGCAUUACCGGCCACACCUGCACUCACUUCCUCUUAUUUACUUUCAGUGACUGUCAUUGGCUGUUGCCGAUCACCUGCUUUCCCCCUGUGUGUAUUUAUACUGCAGUUCUCCCAAGCUUCUUUGUCAGAUCGUCUGCAACUCUCAGCGUGAUAACCUGCUCUGUGUUCCUACUACACUGACUCCUGAAGAUAUUCUGUUCCGUCUGACUCUGUCUGCUCUCCAGCCCCAGUAACCUGAUCUGCCUUCUGUCCUGUCGACUCUGCCUCUUGCCUGCCUCUCCUGUACCUUCGCCUGAUCUCCAGCUCGCCCAGCCCUGCUGCUCGCCUGCCUCUCCAUCUGCCUGGUGUGAGCAGCCCUGCCUGGAGCCCUACUCUUCUGCCCUGGUAACCUGACCCUGCAUUUCUGUCCCCUUUCUUGCUACCUGAUUUGUGACUUUGUGUUCCAGCCUGCUCUCUAUCUCCUGCCUGCUGAGGGACUGCUUGCUGGGAGACUGCCUGAAACCCAAGAGCUGUCAACCUACAGCCACACCUCUUUGACUAUGCCUGAUCCUGUCUGAUCUCAGAAGCUAAGCAGGGUCAGGCCUGGCCAGUACUUGGAUGGGAGACUUCAGAUGUCACCAGCCAUCCCUGCCUCUCAGUCCUCCUGCCACUGAACUUCACACACAUACAUUUUCCCAACUGCCUUUUCCCCUGUUAUUAAUAAACUGUGGUUUGAGUGUA